GACGAACCGUACGAACGUUAUUCGGAAUCACUGGGCUUAAAGGGUGCGUAGGCGGCGCGGCAAGUUGGGUGUGAAAUCCCUCGGCUCAACCGAGGAACUGCGCCCAAAACUGCCGUGCUCGAGGGAGAUAGAGGUGAGCGGAACUUAGGGUGGAGCGGUGAAAUGCGUUGAUAUCCUAAGGAACACCUGUGGCGAAAGCGGCUCACUGGAUCUCUUCUGACGCUGAGGCACGAAAGCUAGGGUAGCGAACAGG
This 253-nucleotide unclassified non-coding RNA is filed under the name uncultured Pirellulaceae bacterium. RNAcentral's name for it is "contains 16S-23S intergenic spacer region". It matches the Rfam family "Bacterial small subunit ribosomal RNA", at positions 524 to 776 of the family's 1533-position model. The record is from RNAcentral. Lineage: Bacteria; Pseudomonadati; Planctomycetota; Planctomycetia; Pirellulales; Pirellulaceae.